RNAcentral lists this ribosomal RNA (494 nucleotides) under uncultured bacterium. RNAcentral's name for it is "partial 16S ribosomal RNA". It matches the Rfam family "Bacterial small subunit ribosomal RNA", at positions 28 to 507 of the family's 1533-position model. The record is from RNAcentral.
GACGAACGCUGGCGGCGUGCUUAACACAUGCAAGUCGAACGGAAAGGCCUGCUUUCCCUUGUGGAUUGCGGGUACUCGAGUGGCGAACGGGUGAGUAACACGUGAGUGAUCUGCCCCCAACUUGGGUAUAAGCCUGGGAAACUGGGUCUAAUUCCCGAUAGGACUGCAGGGUGGUGCCUGUGGUGGAACACGAUUUUCUAGUGGUUGGGGAUGAGCUCGCGGCCUAUCAGCUUGUUGGUGGGGUAAUGGCCUACCAAGGCGGCGACGGGUAGCCGGCCUGAGAGGGUGGACGGCCACAUUGGGACUGGGAUACGGCCCAGACUCCUACGGGAGGCAGCAGUGGGGAAUAUUGCACAGUGGGCGGAAGCCUGAUGCAGCGACGCCGCGUGGGGGAUGACGGCCUUCGGGUUGUAAACUCCUUUCGACCGCGAGGAAGCCACCUGGUUGGAAGGGUGGUGACGGUAGUGGUAGAAGAAGCACCGGCUAACUACGUG